Molecule: ribosomal RNA, 279 nt
Filed under: uncultured Lachnospiraceae bacterium
Lineage: Bacteria; Bacillati; Bacillota; Clostridia; Lachnospirales; Lachnospiraceae
Description: partial 16S ribosomal RNA
Rfam family: Bacterial small subunit ribosomal RNA (bases 41-279)
Source: RNAcentral
UUCGGAAGUUUUCGGAUGGAAGAGGAUUUGACUUAGCGGCGGACGGGUGAGUAACGCGUGGGUAACCUGCCUUACACUGGGGGAUAACAGUUAGAAAUGACUGCUAAUACCGCAUAAGCGCACAGGGCCGCAUGGCACAGUGUGAAAAACUCCGGUGGUACAGGAUGGACCCGCGUCUGAUUAGAUAGUUGGUGAGGUAACGGCCCACCAAGUCAACGAUCAGUAGCCGGCCUGAGAGGGUGAACGGCCACAUUGGGACUGAGACACGGCCCAGACUCC